ACUCACACUAGCCUGAGCAAAAAUGAGGAUUUAUUGGAGGAUCUUGGAGCAUCUCACAGAAUCUAAGAAACAGCCCAAUAAUUGAGCCAGCAGAGGGGCGGGGAUGUGGGUGGGCCUUAGAGACAUCUGGAACCAGGGAUUUGCAAGCCACAGCAGCCCCACCAGGUUCUUGUUUUUGCUUCUUGCUGCAGAUCAGCCUCAUUUGUUCUUUUCCCAGAAGACUGGUUUUGUCUAAGACAGAAAAUAUGACCACUGACAGCUUCUGAGUGUUGUAACUUGGAGGUUAUGUCAUGAGAAAGAAGUGAGUCUCGGUGUCCUUGAGUCUGAAAACACCAGAAGAGGGGCCUCCCUGGCUGUGAUGAGUCCUGCAGAGGAACAGGGCUAUGCCACCCUAGAAGAAAGAAGGAGUCAUGCCAGCUGCAGAGGCCCUGAUGAAACUCUGUCCUUCAUCUCUCGUGAAGCCCGUGGCAAGGGCAACAACCACCACAACAGUAAUGCUAGUAGCUAGCAUUUAUUAUGCACUUUGCCUCAGGCCCUGGGCUGCACUCUAUGUGGAUUUUUUUUUGAGAUGGAGUCUCGCUGUGUCGCCCAGGCUGGAGUGCAGUGGUAUGAUCUUGGCUCACUGCAACCUCACCUCCCAGGUUCAAGCAAUUCUCCUGCCUCAGCCUCUGGAGUAGCUGGGACUACAGGUGCGUGCCACCACACCCAGCUAAGUUUUGUAUUUUUAGUAGAGACAGGGUUUCACCAUGUUGUCCACGCUGGUCUCGAACUG
Molecule: long non-coding RNA, 772 nt
Filed under: Homo sapiens (human)
Lineage: Eukaryota; Metazoa; Chordata; Mammalia; Primates; Hominidae
Description: HSALNT0382240
Source: RNAcentral